GACGGAGGGGGCUAGCGUUGUUCGGAAUUAUGGGCGUAAAGCGCGCGUAGGCGGCGCAUUAAGUCAGAGGUGAAAGCCCGGGGCUCAACCCCGGAAUUGCCUUUGAGACUGGUGUGCUUGAGUACGGAAGAGGUGAGUGGAAUUCCCAGUGAUAGAGGUGAAAUUCGGUAAGAUAUUGGGAAGAACACCAAGUGGCGAAAGGCGGCUCACUGGUCCGUAAACUGACGCCUGAGGUGACGAAAAGCGUGGGGGAGCAAACAGGAUUAGAUACCCCUGUAAGUCC
Molecule: ribosomal RNA, 283 nt
Filed under: uncultured bacterium
Lineage: Bacteria
Description: partial 16S ribosomal RNA
Rfam family: Bacterial small subunit ribosomal RNA
Source: RNAcentral